CCUACGGGAGGCAGCAGUGGGGAAUAUUGGGCAAUGGGCGAAGGCCUGACCCAGCAACGCCGCGUGAAGGAAGAAGGUCUUCGGAUUGUAAACUUCUUUUAUGAGGGACGAAGGACGUGACGGUACCUCAUGAAUAAGCCACGGCUAACUACGUGCCAGCAGCCGCGGUAAU
RNAcentral lists this ribosomal RNA (172 nucleotides) under uncultured rumen bacterium. RNAcentral's name for it is "partial 16S ribosomal RNA". It matches the Rfam family "Bacterial small subunit ribosomal RNA", at positions 338 to 524 of the family's 1533-position model. The record is from RNAcentral.